RNAcentral lists this ribosomal RNA (652 nucleotides) under uncultured archaeon. RNAcentral's name for it is "bacterial SSU rRNA". It matches the Rfam family "Archaeal small subunit ribosomal RNA", at positions 152 to 802 of the family's 1478-position model. The record is from RNAcentral.
UCCCAUAGGUUUAGGGCACUGGAAGGUCCCUAAACCGAAAGGGGCUCUGCCCGCCCGAGGAUGGGCCGGCGGCCGAUUAGGUAGUUGGUGGGGUAACGGCCCACCAAGCCCAUAAUCGGUACGGGCAGUGAGAGCUGGAGCCCGGAGAUGGACACUGAGACACGGGUCCAGGCCCUACGGGGCGCAGCAGGCGCGAAACCUCCGCAAUGCUCGAAAGAGCGACGGGGGGACCCCAAGUGCCGUGGUACAACCACGGCUUUUCCGGAGUGUAAGAAGCUCCGGGAAUAAGGGCUGGGCAAGGCCGGUGGCAGCCGCCGCGGUAAUACCGGCGGCCCGAGUGGUGGCCACUAUUAUUGGGCCUAAAGCGUCCGUAGCCGGGCUUGUAAGUCCCUGGCGAAAUCCCACGGCUCAACCGUGGGGCUUGCUGGGGAUACUGCAAGCCUUGGGACCGGGAGAGGCCGGGGGUACUCCUGGGGUAGGGGUGAAAUCCUAUAAUCCCAGGAGGACCGCCAGUGGCGAAGGCGCCCGGCUGGAACGGGUCCGACGGUGAGGGACGAAGGCCAGGGGAGCAAACCGGAUUAGAUACCCGGGUAGUCCUGGCUGUAAAGGAUGCGGGCUAGGUGUUGCUUGGACCUCGAGUCCAAGCAGUGCC